CCAAUAGCGUAUAUUAAAGUUGUUGCAGUUAAAAAGCUCGUAGUUGAAUUUCGAAAUUUUUUUAUCGGUUGAAUCCACAGGUUCGUACUGAUUUUAAAAAUUUCUACCUUCUGGAGAACCUUAAUGUCAUUUAUUUGAUGUUUUGGGAAACCAGGACUGUUACCUUGAAAAAAUUAGAGUGUUUAAAGCAGGCUUAUGUCUGAAUAUAUUAGCAUGGAAUAAUGAAAUAGGACGGCAUGGUUCUAUUUUGUUGGUUUCUAGGAUCACCGUAAUGAUUAAUAGGGAUAGUUGGGGGCAUUAGUAUUCAAUUGUCAGAGGUGAAAUUCUUGGAUUUAUUGAAGACUAACUUCUGCGAAAGCAUUUGCCAAGGAUGUUUUCAUUAAUCAAGAACGAAAGUUAGGGGAUCGAAGACGAUCAGAUACCGUCGUAGUCUUAACCAUAAACUAUGCCGACUAGGAAUCGGACGAAGUUAAUUUUUUAAUGACUCGUUCGGCGCCUUACG
RNAcentral lists this ribosomal RNA (502 nucleotides) under uncultured Glomeromycotina. Its description in RNAcentral is "partial small subunit ribosomal RNA". It matches the Rfam family "Eukaryotic small subunit ribosomal RNA", at positions 591 to 1092 of the family's 1831-position model. Lineage: Eukaryota; Fungi; Glomeromycota. The record is from RNAcentral.